This 505-nucleotide ribosomal RNA is filed under the name uncultured bacterium. Its description in RNAcentral is "partial 16S ribosomal RNA". It matches the Rfam family "Bacterial small subunit ribosomal RNA", at positions 355 to 853 of the family's 1533-position model. The record is from RNAcentral.
UGGGGAAUUUUGGACAAUGGGCGAAAGCCUGAUCCAGCCAUGCCGCGUGCAGGAUGAAGGCCUUCGGGUUGUAAACUGCUUUUGUACGGAACGAAAAGACUCUGGUUAAUACCUGGGGUCCAUGACGGUACCGUAAGAAUAAGCACCGGCUAACUACGUGCCAGCAGCCGCGGUAAUACGUAGGGUGCAAGCGUUAAUCGGAAUUACUGGGCGUAAAGCGUGCGCAGGCGGUUAUAUAAGACAGAUGUGAAAUCCCCGGGCUCAACCUGGGAACUGCAUUUGUGACUGUAUAGCUAGAGUACGGCAGAGGGGGAUGGAAUUCCGCGUGUAGCAGUGAAAUGCGUAGAUAUGCGGAGGAACACCGAUGGCGAAGGCAAUCCCCUGGGCCUGUACUGACGCUCAUGCACGAAAGCGUGGGGAGCAAACAGGAUUAGAUACCCUGGUAGUCCACGCCCUAAACGAUGUCAACUGGUUGUUGGGUCUUCACUGACUCAGUAACGAAGCU